This is a long non-coding RNA of Poeciliopsis prolifica (blackstripe livebearer), 793 nucleotides long. RefSeq lists it as uncharacterized. The record is from RefSeq and is a predicted model, not a curated record. NCBI's taxonomy places the organism in Eukaryota, Metazoa, Chordata, Actinopteri, Cyprinodontiformes, Poeciliidae. The transcript has 4 exons.
CUUCCAGCCUUUCGCUUUCCUACCCGGACUCAUGAAAAAGGAGUUUCCGUCCGAUGUGAUCCGUCGGGCUCAGCCGGUUCGCUGCGAAUGGGGAAUAAAGUCCAGCGGGAGAUGUGUUGUGGAAAGCUCCAAGCAACUGUCUCUAUGUGUUUUGCACACACAUGCAGGAAGAGUAAACAUCGUUUGGAGAAGGUGACAUUCACGUCAUCUCAAUCGCGUCAGCAGGGUGAAGUCCGAUCCAGGUCCGGACGGGUAAAAUCCACUCCUGAACACGGCUGAAGGCAGCUGCCUGAAGUCGUCUACUGAUGCCCAGGAAAUAUUCCUCGCUCUCAAGCUGUGAUUCUGCCCCAAGGAGCAGCCGGUCCAUCAUCUCGUGGCGAAUAUCCAGAACCUCUUCAGCCUCCAACUUACCAGACCAGAACCUGAUGUCAGCACCAACUUUUCUGCUCUGGCGAGUUUCUGUGGGGUCAGACAGAAAAAUGUAUAUGAAUGUAUGCAUAUUAUGACUCUCUUAAGGUCUUCUUGCAGAGGUGAGCAUCAUAUUAACAAAAGCACAACGACAAUUACGUAAAAGCUAUGAAAUACCGAUUUCACAACAAUUAUGUACAGCUCAUAAACCGGACUGACCAGAAUGCAAAUGGAUGUUAAUCAUUACUUCAAAGGGAGAAGGAGAAUACAUCAACAGCAGACACACUUUGGCGGUUUCUCUCUCUCUGGUUCCCCUAACCAGACACCUGCAGGCGGGGAAGCCCUGGGAGUCUGCUCCUCCAUCUCCCCGUCGACGUCCUCGUCG